Molecule: unclassified non-coding RNA, 237 nt
Filed under: Hevea brasiliensis (rubber tree)
Lineage: Eukaryota; Viridiplantae; Streptophyta; Magnoliopsida; Malpighiales; Euphorbiaceae
Source: RNAcentral
GUCCCCUCAUGUACCUCCUACUGCUACCGAAACAAUGAUUAUCCAAGACAACAAUCCUAGAACCUCACUCGUCAAACUCAGAGUCAUCCUCAAUUUCUUCCUUCCCAUUCACCGUUUUCCUUUUUCUUAAUAUAUUCUGCCAUGGCUUUAUCAAACUCAGCUCUUUUCUCUGUGGCGAUAUCAUAAUAUUUAACCUUUUCCUCAUAAUUCAUUGUUUUCCACUUCUCACCACAUGCC